Molecule: transfer RNA, 87 nt
Filed under: Acidocella sp.
Lineage: Bacteria; Pseudomonadati; Pseudomonadota; Alphaproteobacteria; Acetobacterales; Acidocellaceae
Also listed under: 2 other names
Description: tRNA-Leu
Rfam family: tRNA
About the family: Transfer RNA (tRNA) molecules are approximately 80 nucleotides in length.
Source: RNAcentral
GCGGGCGUGGUGGAACUGGUAGACGCGCCGGACUCAAAAUCCGGUUCUGGCAACAGAGUGUCGGUUCGAUUCCGACCGCCCGCACCA